RNAcentral lists this transfer RNA (73 nucleotides) under Entomoneis sp. RNAcentral's name for it is "tRNA-Met". Lineage: Eukaryota; Bacillariophyta; Bacillariophyceae; Surirellales; Surirellaceae. The record is from RNAcentral.
UAAGCUUAGCAGGAUUUGAACCUACAACUGCUCCGUUAUGAGCAGAGUGUUCUACCAAUUGAACUAUAAGCUU